RNAcentral lists this long non-coding RNA (582 nucleotides) under Homo sapiens (human). Its description in RNAcentral is "non-protein coding lnc-CKB-3:1". Lineage: Eukaryota; Metazoa; Chordata; Mammalia; Primates; Hominidae. The record is from RNAcentral.
AUGGCUAAACGUGAUCCCAGGAAACCAAAGGACAAAAUGUCUGCUUAUGCCUUCUUUGUGCAGAUGUGCAGAGAAGGACAUAGAAGAAAAUCCCAGAGGUCCCUGUCAAUUUUGCAGAAUUUUCCAAGAAGUCCUCUGAGAGGUGCAAGACAGUGGGAAAGAGAAGUCUAAAUCUGAUGAAAUUGCAAAGGCAGAUAAAGUAUGCUAUGAUCGGGAAAUGGAGGAUAACAGACCAGCUAAGGGAGGCAAGAAGAAGUUUCCUAAUGCCCCCAAAAGGCCAUCCUCUAUAUUAUUUCUGUUCUGUUCAGAAUUCCUCCCCAAGACCAAAUCCACAAACCCUGGCAUCUCUACUGGAGAUGUGGCAAAAAGCUGGGUGAGAUGUGGAAUAACUUAAACGACAGUGAAAAGCAGCCUUACAUCACAAAGGCGGCAAAGCUGAAGGAGAAGUAUGAGAAGGAUGUUGUUGACUUUAAGUCUAAAGGAAACUUUGAUGGCACAAAGGGUCCUGCUAAAGUUGCCUGGAAAAAUGUGGAAGAAGAAUAUGAAGAAGAUGAGGAAGAAGAAGAAAGAGGAGGAUCAUGA